UGGGGAAUAUUGGACAAUGGGCGCAAGCCUGAUCCAGCAAUGCCGCGUGUGUGAAGAAGGCCUUCGGGUUGUAAAGCACUUUUAUCAGGAGCGAAACGCUGUCGGCUAAUACCCGGCGGAAUUGACGGUACCUGAGGAAUAAGCACCGGCUAACUUCGUGCCAGCAGCCGCGGUAAUACGAAGGGUGCAAGCGUUAAUCGGAAUUACUGGGCGUAAAGCGUGCGUAGGCGGUUUCUUAAGUCUGCUGUGAAAUCCCCGGGCUCAACCUGGGAAUGGCAGUGGAUACUGGGAGGCUAGAGUGUGUCAGAGGGUGGUGGAAUUCCCGGUGUAGCGGUGAAAUGCGUAGAGAUCGGGAGGAACAUCAGUGGCGAAGGCGGCCACCUGGGACAACACUGACGCUGAGGCACGAAAGCGUGGGGAGCAAACAGGAUUAGAUACCCUGGUAGUCCACGCCCUAAACGAUGCGAACUGGAUGUUGGUCUCAACUCGGAGAUCAGUGUCGAAGCUAACGCGUUAAGUUCGCCGCCUGGGGAGUACGGUCGCAAGACUGAAACUUAAAUGAAUUG
RNAcentral lists this ribosomal RNA (566 nucleotides) under uncultured bacterium. RNAcentral's name for it is "partial 16S ribosomal RNA". It matches the Rfam family "Bacterial small subunit ribosomal RNA", at positions 355 to 912 of the family's 1533-position model. The record is from RNAcentral.